UGUUUGCCUUGUAAUUUUAAA
Molecule: non-coding RNA, 21 nt
Filed under: Caenorhabditis elegans
Lineage: Eukaryota; Metazoa; Nematoda; Chromadorea; Rhabditida; Rhabditidae
Source: RNAcentral